CCCGCCCGUCCGUGCAGCGGCCGGUGCUUUCCUCGCGGGACGACGGGGAACUCCGGGGCGGUAACCACACGCGCUUCCCCUGACCGCGGCCUGGCCAGCCCUCCCCGCCCCCACCCCGGGGGAUUUCCGCGACCCCGGGCGCCACCCCGCCGGGCGGCCUUCCAGAGAGCCGGCGCCGCGCGCUCGCGCCCGGGCAGCGGCCGCGUGCUCGGGGUCGGCCCGGUCGCGCGUCCCCGCCGGCGGUCGCAGGAGCGAGGGCGCGGGCGGAAGCGCGGGUUCCCCGUGGGCCUAGCUGCAGUGCCUGGGGCGGCGGCGUGGCCUUCUUCGUUUCCGGUAGCGAGGAAGACUUUACACCUGGGGUGAGACGCUAUUUUACAAGCCAAGAUGGGUGAGCACGAAGCCUUCUCUUCAAGAAGAGAGCCCCACGGUGAACAGGUUGGUGACAAGGCGGGACAGCCUGGCCCCCUUCGCAGCUCUGGUUUUCAGGCUGAUCGGGUUUAGGAAGAGCCCCAUGUGGACUUGAAGCACCAGGCUGUCAAUUCCUUUAACACUGAGUUCCCACUUGCCUGGGGCUAAUCUUUGUGAAGACGUGGUGAGCCUGCCCAAGGGAGUACCUGUCCCAACUGAACGACCAGCGGCCUGAGGAGUCCCAGUGGGACUGGCUUUCCCGGGUGCUUCGGGCACAGUGAGAGUGGAGAGGAGACCUACCUGCCAGGCCCCGGAGUGCAUCGCCACGUCUCCUCCACAACAUUUCACGCAACUUUAACGAUGGAUUUUUAAAAAAUGUUUACUUACUUAUUUUAGGAGGGACAGCGAGAGAGAGAAAAUGGGCAGGGGAGGGGCAGA
This is a long non-coding RNA of Panthera uncia (snow leopard), 846 nucleotides long. RefSeq lists it as uncharacterized. The transcript has 2 exons. Lineage: Eukaryota; Metazoa; Chordata; Mammalia; Carnivora; Felidae. The record is from RefSeq and is a predicted model, not a curated record.